RNAcentral lists this ribosomal RNA (259 nucleotides) under uncultured microorganism. Its description in RNAcentral is "partial 16S ribosomal RNA". It matches the Rfam family "Bacterial small subunit ribosomal RNA", at positions 9 to 257 of the family's 1533-position model. The record is from RNAcentral.
GAGUUUGAUCUUGGCUCAGGAUGAACGCUGGCGGCGUGCCUAAUACAUGCAAGUCGAGCGAACGGACGAGAAGCUUGCUUCUCUGAUGUUAGCGGCGGACGGGUGAGUAACACGUGGGUAACCUACCUAUAAGACUGGGAUAACUCCGGGAAACCGGGGCUAAUACCGGAUAACACAUGAAACCGCAUGGUUUCAUGAUGAAAGACGGUCUUGCUGUCACUUAUAGAUGGAUCCGCGCUGCAUUAGCUAGUUGGUAGGU